This 339-nucleotide ribosomal RNA is filed under the name Triticum aestivum (bread wheat). RNAcentral describes it as "partial small subunit ribosomal RNA". Lineage: Eukaryota; Viridiplantae; Streptophyta; Magnoliopsida; Poales; Poaceae. The record is from RNAcentral.
AUGGCACUCGCUCACCAUGCGGAUGCUACACCAUUUUUUUGCAAGACGCCGUGCUUCUUGUUUUGGCUUUGUUUUUUAUUUUUAGCCGGUUGCAGCUUUUUGAUUUGUCGGCCAGCUUUUUAUUUUGCCGGCUGUAGCAAUUUCAUCCACGAGCACCAAUCUUUGAUCUACAUCAUUGUUGAUGCAGCGCUGUUUAUUUCUACUCGACGCAUGGGAAUCGGUGUCGUGAUCAGGGACCACCGAGGAACCCGCUUGGCUAUGUGCAGCGAGCAUCUUAGUUGGUUCCAACAUUUUUUCCUGCCGGUUGUAGCUUUUCAUGUCGCUGGUUUCAACUUUUGA